UGGGGAAUUUUGGACAAUGGGCGAAAGCCUGAUGCAGCCAUGCCGCGUGUGUGAAGAAGGCCUUCGGGUUGUAAAGCACUUUCAGCGAGGAGGAAGGUGGUGAGCUUAAUACGCUCAUCAAUUGACGUUACUCGCAGAAGAAGCACCGGCUAACUCCGUGCCAGCAGCCGCGGUAAUACGGAGGGUGCAAGCGUUAAUCGGAAUUACUGGGCGUAAAGCGCACGCAGGCGGUUUGUUAAGUCAGAUGUGAAAUCCCGGCGUCAACCUGGGAACUGCAUUUGAAACUGGCAAGCUAGAGUCUCGUAGAGGGGGGUGAGAAUUAUCCCAGGUGUAGCGGUGAAAUGCGUAGAGAUCUGGAGGAAUA
This 364-nucleotide ribosomal RNA is filed under the name uncultured bacterium. RNAcentral's name for it is "partial 16S ribosomal RNA". It matches the Rfam family "Bacterial small subunit ribosomal RNA", at positions 355 to 708 of the family's 1533-position model. The record is from RNAcentral.